This 270-nucleotide ribosomal RNA is filed under the name uncultured archaeon. RNAcentral describes it as "partial 16S ribosomal RNA". It matches the Rfam family "Archaeal small subunit ribosomal RNA", at positions 477 to 747 of the family's 1478-position model. The record is from RNAcentral.
CAGCACCUCAAGUGGUCAGGAUGAUUAUUGGGCCUAAAGCAUCCGUAGCCGGCUCUGUAAGUUUUCGGUUAAAUCUGUACGCUCGACGUACAGGCUGCCGGGAAUACUGCAGCGCUAGGGAGUGGGAGAGGUAGACGGUACUCGGUAGGAAGGGGUAAAAUCCUUUGAUCUAUUGAUGACCACCUGUGGCGAAGGCGGUCUACCAGAACACGUCCGACGGUGAGGGAUGAAAGCUGGGGGAGCAAACCGGAUUAGAUACCCGAGUAGUCC